Molecule: ribosomal RNA, 582 nt
Filed under: Nocardia sp. QA30
Lineage: Bacteria; Bacillati; Actinomycetota; Actinomycetes; Mycobacteriales; Nocardiaceae
Description: bacterial SSU rRNA
Rfam family: Bacterial small subunit ribosomal RNA
Source: RNAcentral
GUACACGAGCGGCGAACGGGUGAGUAACACGUGGGUGAUCUGCCUUGCACUCUGGGAUAAGCCUGGGAAACUGGGUCUAAUACCGGAUAUGACCUUCGGUUGCAUGACCGGGGGUGGAAAGAUUUAUCGGUGCAAGAUGAGCCCGCGGCCUAUCAGCUUGUUGGUGGGGUAAUGGCCUACCAAGGCGACGACGGGUAGCCGGCCUGAGAGGGCGACCGGCCACACUGGGACUGAGACACGGCCCAGACUCCUACGGGAGGCAGCAGUGGGGAAUAUUGCACAAUGGGCGGAAGCCUGAUGCAGCGACGCCGCGUGAGGGAUGACGGCCUUCGGGUUGUAAACCUCUUUCGACUCCGACGAAGCGAGAGUGACGGUAGGAGUAUAAGAAGCACCGGCCAACUACGUGCCAGCAGCCGCGGUAAUACGUAGGGUGCGAGCGUUGUCCGGAAUUACUGGGCGUAAAGAGCUUGUAGGCGGUCUGUCGCGUCAUCUGUGAAAACUUGGGGCUCAACCUUAAGCUUGCAGGCGAUACGGGCAGACUAGAGUACUUCAGGGGAGACUGGAAUUCCUGGUGUAGCGGUG